GUCGAAGGAGGCCCAAGAGAGUUGUUAACGUUUUUUCAUAGCCAUGUUUACUCUUUUUCAUCUUGGCGCCGAGACCCUAAUGACACGCCCCCCUGGAAGCUCGCCCCUGCCUCUCAACAGGGCACGAACACGGCACGGGCACGGGCACGGGUACGCUCCCCUUGGUGGCAACGAUAAGCGACAAUAAACAUAAAAAAUGAAUGCUCAGCCCCCGCUGGAGCAGCACCAACGCCACCGCCACCCCACCCCAUCGCUAUUUUCCGGCUUUUCCACCAGUGCAAAGCGCACGCUUGGCGCAAAUUUAACAACCACACGAGAUUUUUCCGCCAAGCUUUAUUGUUGCUGUCACGGAUUUUUCGAGGAUUUUCAUCGCGUAAACAUCUUUUUCAUAUUCAUUUCAAAAAGAAGGAAGAAUGUGAUGACACGAUAACCGAAGCGACAAAUACCCUGCCAUCAGGAGUACUGCUGCAGCCAAAUACCCAUAUAAAUACCCGUGCUAUAAAUAACCAGUUCCCAUAUGUGAACUGGUUUUAAUACCAAUCGGCACAAUCCUCAGCAAGGGUAUGAAAACAGUUAAGUGCGUGGCUGGCCUCAGUGAUGAGUCUGGAAUGGCGGGCAUGCCACAUCCUUUGGGAACUCAAAUUAGCUCACAACGAAAAUGUAUUAAUUGAAUCAUAAUUUACGAGCACAAACCCCAGAAUGGGGAACAGACUACCUACCAAUCCUUAUUAAUGCAAAAUAUAUGAAAUAUGGGUACAACAAAACGGAAUAUUGAAACUAAUAAUGCGAAUAUUUGUACAGUUUAAUUUAAUUGAUUGCAAUUUAUGCACGAUGAAAUAUGUGCGGUCUGCUUUUAUUAAUCAUCUGCAUCACAACAAAUGCUCAAAAUAAAUGGAAAAGUAUCCGAAUUUUUGUAUUUGUUGCAAUUUGAAACCAACCGAAAUCAAAUUUUCUAACAAAAACACAACAAUAAAAACACAUAUUAACGGCCAAGUUUGGUUGGUCAGACAUAUUAGUCAUAACUAAAGCAGUUCUCGCACUUUGUGAACC
This 1050-nucleotide long non-coding RNA is filed under the name Drosophila guanche. Lineage: Eukaryota; Metazoa; Arthropoda; Insecta; Diptera; Drosophilidae. The record is from RNAcentral.